This 654-nucleotide ribosomal RNA is filed under the name Bacillus sp. BAB-5091. Its description in RNAcentral is "bacterial SSU rRNA". It matches the Rfam family "Bacterial small subunit ribosomal RNA", at positions 215 to 859 of the family's 1533-position model. Lineage: Bacteria; Bacillati; Bacillota; Bacilli; Caryophanales; Bacillaceae. The record is from RNAcentral.
CCACUUACAGAUGGACCCGCGGCGCAUUAGCUAGUUGGUGAGGUAACGGCUCACCAAGGCAACGAUGCGUAGCCGACCUGAGAGGGUGAUCGGCCACACUGGGACUGAGACACGGCCCAGACUCCUACGGGAGGCAGCAGUAGGGAAUCUUCCGCAAUGGACGAAAGUCUGACGGAGCAACGCCGCGUGAGUGAUGAAGGUUUUCGGAUCGUAAAACUCUGUUGUUAGGGAAGAACAAGUACCGUUCGAAUAGGGCGGUACCUUGACGGUACCUAACCAGAAAGCCACGGCUAACUACGUGCCAGCAGCCGCGGUAAUACGUAGGUGGCAAGCGUUGUCCGGAAUUAUUGGGCGUAAAGCGCGCGCAGGCGGUUUCUUAAGUCUGAUGUGAAAGCCCCCGGCUCAACCGGGGAGGGUCAUUGGAAACUGGGGAACUUGAGUGCAGAAGAGGAGAGUGGAAUUCCACGUGUAGCGGUGAAAUGCGUAGAGAUGUGGAGGAACACCAGUGGCGAAGGCGACUCUCUGGUCUGUAACUGACGCUGAGGCGCGAAAGCGUGGGGAGCGAACAGGAUUAGAUACCCUGGUAGUCCACGCCGUAAACGAUGAGUGCUAAGUGUUAGAGGGUUUCCGCCCUUUAGUGCUGCAGCAAACGCA